GAUGAACGCUGGCGGCGUGCCUAAUACAUGCAAGUCGAGCGAACGGACGAGAAGCUUGCUUCUCUGAUGUUAGCGGCGGACGGGUGAGUAACACGUGGAUAACCUACCUAUAAGACUGGGAUAACUUCGGGAAACCGGAGCUAAUACCGGAUGAUAUUUUGAACCGCAUGGUUCAAAAGUGAAAGACGGUCUUGCUGUCACUUAUAGAUGGAUUCGCGCUGCAUUAGCUAGUUGGUAAGGUAACGGCUUACCAAGGCAACGAUGCAUAGCCGACCUGAGAGGGUGAUCGGCCACACUGGAACUGAGACACGGUCCAGACUCCUACGGGAGUCAGCAGUAGGGAAUCUUCCGCAAAGGGCGAAAGCCUGACGGAGCAACGCCGCGUGAGUGAUGAAGGUCUUCGGAUCGUAAAACUCUGUUAUUAGGGAAGAACAUAUGUGUAAGUAACUGUGCACAUCUUGACGGUACCUAAUCAGAAAGCCACGGCUAACUACGUG
Molecule: ribosomal RNA, 497 nt
Filed under: uncultured bacterium
Lineage: Bacteria
Description: partial 16S ribosomal RNA
Rfam family: Bacterial small subunit ribosomal RNA
Source: RNAcentral